AGCGAACGCUGGCGGCGUGGAUUAGACAUGCAAGUCGAGCGAUCCCGAGUAAUCGGGAUAGCGGCGAACGGGUGAGUAAUACUUGAGUAAUCUACCCCAAAGACUGGGAUAACUCCGAGAAAUCGGAGCUAAUACCAGAUAAAUCCUGAUAGUUAUGCUAUUCAGGACAAAGUCCCGUGUAAACGGGAUGCUUUGGGAAGAGCUCAUGGCCUAUCAGCUAGUUGGUAGGGUAAUAGCCUACCAAGGCAAAGACGGGUAGCUGGUCUGAGAGGACGGCCAGCCACAUGGGGACUGAGACACGGCCCUGACUCCUACGGGAGGCAGCAGUCGAGGAUCUUCCGCAAUGGGCGAAAGCCUGACGGAGCGACGCUGCGUGAGGGAUGAAGGCCUUCGGGUUGUAAACCUUUGUCAGAGAGAACGAGGUCCCGAGUAAUCGGGAUGACGGUACUUUCAGAGGAAGCCACGGCUAACUCCGUGCCAGCAGCCGCGGUAAUACGGAGGUGGCAAGCGUUGCUCGGAUUUACUGGGCGUAAAGGGUGCGUAGGUGUUCCGAUAGGUCUUAAGUGAAAACCCUCGACUCAAUCGAGGAAUGGCUUAAGAAACCAUCGGAAUUGAGUCUAGGAGAAGGAGAUGGAAUUCUCGGUGUAGCGGUGAAAUGCGUAGAUAUCGGGAAGAACACCAGUAGCGAAGGCGAUCUCCUAGCCUAGUACUGACACUGAGACACGAAAGCUGGGGUAGCGAACAGGAUUAGAUACCCUGGUAGUCCCAGCCGUAAACGAUGGGCACUAGGUGUUCCCUGCUUAAUGUGGGGGGCGUCGUAGCUAACGUGUUAAGUGCCCCGCCUGGGGAGUACGGCCGCAAGGCUGAAACUCAAAGGAAUUGACGG
RNAcentral lists this ribosomal RNA (886 nucleotides) under uncultured bacterium. RNAcentral describes it as "bacterial SSU rRNA". It matches the Rfam family "Bacterial small subunit ribosomal RNA", at positions 28 to 916 of the family's 1533-position model. The record is from RNAcentral.